UUCGCAAUGCCCGAAAGGGUGACGAAGCGACGCCGCGUGUGGGAAGAAGGCCUUCGGGUUGUAAACCACUGUCGGGAGUUAGGAAAUGUAAGGGUGCUAAUAGUAUCCUUACUUGACUAAGGCUCCGGAGGAAGCCACGGCUAACUCUGUGCCAGCAGCCGCGGUAAUACAGAGGCGGCAAGCGUUGUUCGGAAUUAUUGGGCGUAAAGAGCACGUAGGCGGCUAUGUAAGUCGGUUGUGAAAGCCUUCCGCUCAACGGGAGAACAGCAUCCGAUACUACAUGGCUUGAGUGCGGGAGGGGAGAGUGGAACUUCUGGUGGAGCGGUGAAAUGCGUAGAUAUCAGAAGGAACGCCGGCGGCGAAAACGGCUCUCUGGCCCAUAACUGACGCUGAGUGUGCGAAAGCUAGGGGAGCAAACGGGAUUAGAUACCCCGGUAGUCCUAGCCGUAAAC
RNAcentral lists this ribosomal RNA (452 nucleotides) under uncultured bacterium. RNAcentral's name for it is "bacterial SSU rRNA". It matches the Rfam family "Bacterial small subunit ribosomal RNA", at positions 365 to 807 of the family's 1533-position model. The record is from RNAcentral.